GCAGAAAAUUAAAAUUUUACCAACAAACCUUAAAGAAAAUUUUCACUAUAUAAAGUAUUUUUUAAAAAAUUCCUAAAUUAACCAACCGCAAGGAACAACAUUCAGCUUUCUCAAGAAAUGAUAACCUCAUGUCCCUCUUGCAUCAUGGAGAAGCAACAAAACUAUAAUAACUUAUAUUCCCGAAUGAUUAUGAGCUACUAAACCCUAAAAAUCAAUGUUUCAUAAUUGAUAUAGUAACUUUUAGUAGAAGUAACAAGCCUUUCAUAUAAUCAUAUAGCUGGUUUUUCUUCAAAAGCAUCAAAGUGCUGGCUUAUAGAAUAAGCCCAGAGCCUCUAGCCUAUAAAGCUUAACCUAUUGAGGACUAGCUCAAUAGGGCAUAAAAAAUAUUUUAUCCCUAAUCCCCACAAGUAGGCUUAAAAGCAGCCACCUAAUAACGUUUUAGUUAUUGAGAAUUUAUAUUAAGUAUUAAUACAACACAAUUUUAAAACUAAAGAAAUUUAACAAAAAAUUUUUCUGUUACUAAACAGGCAUUCUAUUAGUAUUUAAUAUAAGUCUAUUACUCAACAUUCCUCAAAAAAUUUGAAUCAAA
Molecule: ribosomal RNA, 589 nt
Filed under: Anodonta anatina
Lineage: Eukaryota; Metazoa; Mollusca; Bivalvia; Unionida; Unionidae
Description: partial 16S ribosomal RNA
Source: RNAcentral